This is a long non-coding RNA of Cyanistes caeruleus (blue tit), 808 nucleotides long. RefSeq lists it as uncharacterized. The record is from RefSeq and is a predicted model, not a curated record. Lineage: Eukaryota; Metazoa; Chordata; Aves; Passeriformes; Paridae.
UCGUUAUUACCUGCAGCCCUCCGGAGCCGGCGGCGCUGCUGGCAGAGCUCCAAGCCCAAACCUCUCCAAAACUCACAGCGAAGGUAAACGGGAGAAUGUCACCUACACCUGGGGCCAAAGCAAUUAGUGACUCAGGCAGCUCUGUCUCCCCUCCUGGUCACAGCCCAGUGGGGCAAAGAGAAGAAACCUAUUAAAGCCCCUUCACAUGUCCACAGGUGGCUCAUCCCACACUGAGCAAGGAGGGCAGGAGCUGGGGUCCCUUCACUGUUGAGCCCCCGUGGGCCCUGGUGAGGCACCGGGAGGUGACGCUGCCUCCGCUUCCCGCGAUGGAUGCGCCGGUGCCAAAGGGCACACAACUAAAUUAUGAGCUGGCACUUACAAGGAGUGAGGGCUCUGGCUUGUGCUUCCAUUAGAGGGUAUCUAUCUGCAUUUAAAGCUGUGGCGCUCUGAUAAGGAGAAGGGAGGAAGCCAGAGAGACCUCAAAAAAUUGCCUGGACGAACUCCGAGAUAAGACUUUUCAGACAGACAAAAAAGCCUGUCCUGAUUUAUAGAGCUUCGUCCGUCCUUGACAGUACCUCUGGAGCUCCUGAUCUUGGCUGUAAAAAAGAAAGUUCCAUCAGAAAUGUGUGUUCUGCCCCCAAACUAUUUAUCCAGACAACCUGUCAACCUACCACAGCCAGAUCCUCUCUUGACAUGGACAAGGCAGCAACACAAUCGGCCGCCUUUUAUUUUUACCCUCUCCCUCUCCCCUGCUCCUGCUAAUCACAGAUGCUUUGUCCGCUCAAUAAUAAAGAUCCCGGGCGCCUCA